This 447-nucleotide ribosomal RNA is filed under the name uncultured bacterium. Its description in RNAcentral is "partial 16S ribosomal RNA". It matches the Rfam family "Bacterial small subunit ribosomal RNA", at positions 29 to 523 of the family's 1533-position model. The record is from RNAcentral.
AACGAACGCUGGCGGCAGGCCUAACACAUGCAAGUCGAACGCCCCGCAAGGGGAGUGGCAGACGGGUGAGUAACGCGUGGGAACCUACCUUUCGGUGCGGAAUAACUCCGGGAAACCGGAGCUAAUACCGCAUACGCCCUAUGGGGGAAAGAUUUAUCGCCGAUAGAUGGGCCCGCGUCGGAUUAGCUAGUUGGUGAGGUAACGGCUCACCAAGGCGACGAUCCGUAGCUGGUCUGAGAGGAUGAUCAGCCACACUGGGACUGAGACACGGCCCAGACUCCUACGGGAGGCAGCAGUGGGGAAUAUUGGACAAUGGGCGCAAGCCUGAUCCAGCCAUGCCGCGUGAGUGAAGAAGGCCUUAGGGUUGUAAAGCUCUUUUAGUGGGGAAGAUAAUGACGGUACCCACAGAAUAAGCCCCGGCUAACUUCGUGCCAGCCGCCGCCGUAA